GAUGAACGCUGGCGGCGUGCCUAAUACAUGCAAGUCGAGCGAACAGACGAGGAGCUUGCUCCUCUGACGUUAGCGGCGGACGGGUGAGUAACACGUGGAUAACCUACCUAUAAGACUGGGAUAACUUCGGGAAACCGGAGCUAAUACCGGAUAAUAUAUUGAACCGCAUGGUUCAAUAGUGAAAGACGGUUUUGCUGUCACUUAUAGAUGGAUCUGCGCCGCAUUAGCUAGUUGGUAAGGUAACGGCUUACCAAGGCAACGAUGCGUAGCCGACCUGAGAGGGUGGUCGGCCACACGGGAACUGAGACACGGUCCAGGCUCCUACGGGAGGCAGCAGUAGGGAAUCUUCCGCAAUGGGCGAAAGCCUGACGGAGCAGCGCCGCGUGAGUGAUGAAGGUCUUCGGAUCGUGAAACUCUGUUAUUAGGGAAGAACAAAUGUGUAAGUAACUAUGCACGUCUUGACGGUACCUAAUCAGAAAGCCACGGCUAACUACGUG
RNAcentral lists this ribosomal RNA (497 nucleotides) under uncultured bacterium. Its description in RNAcentral is "partial 16S ribosomal RNA". It matches the Rfam family "Bacterial small subunit ribosomal RNA", at positions 28 to 507 of the family's 1533-position model. The record is from RNAcentral.